This 253-nucleotide ribosomal RNA is filed under the name uncultured bacterium. Its description in RNAcentral is "partial 16S ribosomal RNA". It matches the Rfam family "Bacterial small subunit ribosomal RNA", at positions 524 to 776 of the family's 1533-position model. The record is from RNAcentral.
UACGUAGGUGGCAAGCGUUAUCCGGAUUUACUGGGUGUAAAGGGAGCGUAGACGGCAGAGCAAGCCAGGAGUGAAAGCCCGGGGCCCAACCCCGGGACUGCUCUUGGAACUGCGUGGCUGGAGUGCAGGAGGGGCAGGCGGAAUUCCUGGUGUAGCGGUGAAAUGCGUAGAUAUCAGGAGGAACACCGGUGGCGAAGGCGGCCUGCUGGACUGCAACUGACGUUGAGGCCCGAAAGCGUGGGGAGCAAACAGG